This 897-nucleotide ribosomal RNA is filed under the name uncultured marine bacterium. Its description in RNAcentral is "bacterial SSU rRNA". It matches the Rfam family "Bacterial small subunit ribosomal RNA", at positions 56 to 1003 of the family's 1533-position model. The record is from RNAcentral.
UGCAAGUCGAACGAAGUAGCAAUACUUAGUGGCAGACGGGUGAGUAACAUGUAGGUAUCUGCCCUUUGGCCUGGAAUAACACGAGGAAACUUGUGCUAAUACCGGAUAAGUCUUUACGGAGAAAGCUUUAUGCACCAUUGGAUGAGCCUGCACUUGAUUAGUUUGUUGGUGGGGUAAUGGCCUACCAAGACUGUGAUCAAUAGCUGAUUUGAGAGGAUGAUCAGCCACAUUGGGACUGAGACACGGCCCAAACUCCUACGGGAGGCAGCAGUGGGGAAUCUUGCACAAUGGAGGAAACUCUGAUGCAGCGAUGCCGCGUGAGUGAAGAAGGCCCUUGGGUUGUAAAGCUCUUUCGUCGGGGAAGAAAAUGACUGUACCCGAAUAAGAAGGUCCGGCUAACUUCGUGCCAGCAGCCGCGGUAAUACGAAGGGACCUAGCGUAGUUCGGAAUUACUGGGCUUAAAGAGUUCGUAGGUGGUUGAAAAAGUUGGUGGUGAAAUCCCAGAGCUUAACUCUGGAACUGCCAUCAAAACUUUUCAGCUAGAGUAUGAUAGAGGAAAGCAGAAUUUCUAGUGUAGAGGUGAAAUUCGUAGAUAUUAGAAAGAAUACCAAUUGCGAAGGCAGCUUUCUGGAUCAUUACUGACACUGAGGAACGAAAGCAUGGGUAGCGAAGAGGAUUAGAUACCCUCGUAGUCCAUGCCGUAAACGAUGUGUGUUAGACGUUGGAAAUUUAUUUUCAGUGUCGCAGCGAAAGCGAUAAACACACCGCCUGGGGAGUACGACCGCAAGGUUAAAACUCAAAUGAAUUGACGGGGACCCGCACAAGUAGUGAACAUGUGGUUUAAUUCGAAGAUACGCGCAGAACCUUACCACACUUGACAUGUUCGUCGCGACUCUA